CAGCAGCCGCGGGAAAACGGAGGGUGCAAGCGUUAAUCGGAAUUACUGGGCGUAAAGCGCACGCAGGCGGUCUGUCAAGUCAGAUGUGAAAUCCCCGGGCUUAACCUGGGAACUGCAUUUGAAACUGGCAGGCUAGAGUCUUGUAGAGGGGGGUAGAAUUCCAGGUGUAGCGGUGAAAUGCGUAGAGAUCUGGAGGAAUACCGGUGGCGAAGGCGGCCCCCUGGACAAAGACUGACGCUCAGGUGCGAAAGCGUGGGGAGCAAACAGGAUUAGAUACCCCUGUAGUCCCUGUCUCUUAUAC
Molecule: ribosomal RNA, 301 nt
Filed under: uncultured bacterium
Lineage: Bacteria
Description: partial 16S ribosomal RNA
Rfam family: Bacterial small subunit ribosomal RNA
Source: RNAcentral